RNAcentral lists this ribosomal RNA (253 nucleotides) under uncultured bacterium. RNAcentral's name for it is "partial 16S ribosomal RNA". It matches the Rfam family "Bacterial small subunit ribosomal RNA", at positions 524 to 776 of the family's 1533-position model. The record is from RNAcentral.
UACGUAGGGGGCUAGCGUUGCUCGGAAUGACUGGGCGUAAAGGGCGCGUAGGCGGCUCAUACAGUCAGGCGUGAAAUUCCUGGGCUCAACCUGGGGACUGCGCUUGAGACGUGUGGGCUUGAGUGGGGAAGAGGGUCGUGGAAUUCCCAGUGUAGAGGUGAAAUUCGUAGAUAUUGGGAAGAACACCGGUGGCGAAGGCGGCGACCUGGUCCUUGACUGACGCUGAGGCGCGAAAGCGUGGGGAGCAAACAGG